GAGGAAAGAGGGAGGGGGGAGGAACACAGGCAAGUCGAACGGAAAGGCCCUGCUUUUGUGGGGUGCUCGAGUGGCGAACGGGUGAGUAACACGUGAGUAACCUGCCCUUGACUUUGGGAUAACUUCAGGAAACUGGGGCUAAUACCGGAUAGGAGCUCCUGCUGCAUGGUGGGGGUUGGAAAGUUUCGGCGGUUGGGGAUGGACUCGCGGCUUAUCAGCUUGUUGGUGGGGUAGUGGCUUACCAAGGCUUUGACGGGUAGCCGGCCUGAGAGGGUGACCGGCCACAUUGGGACUGAGAUACGGCCCAGACUCCUACGGGAGGCAGCAGUGGGGAAUAUUGCAAAAUGGGAGGAAGCCUGAUGCAGCAACGCCGCGUGCGGGAUGACGGCCUUCGGGUUGUAAACCGCUUUCGCCUGUGACGAAGCGUGAGUGACGGUAAUGGGUAAAGAAGCAACGGCUAAAUACGUG
This 468-nucleotide ribosomal RNA is filed under the name uncultured bacterium. RNAcentral describes it as "partial 16S ribosomal RNA". It matches the Rfam family "Bacterial small subunit ribosomal RNA", at positions 38 to 507 of the family's 1533-position model. The record is from RNAcentral.